AGAGUUUGAUCCUGGCUCAGAACGAAUGCUGGCGGCGUGGAUAAGACAUGCAAGUCGAACGGAAUAUUUCUGUAGUAAUAUGGAAAUAUUUAGUGGCAAACGGGUGAGUAACACGUGAGAACCACCCCCAGAGCGGAAGAUAGCCAGCCGAAAGGUUGGGUAAUACUCCAUAAUCCCGAAAGGGCAAAGUCGUAAGACACUCAGGGACGGGCUCGCGCUCCAUCAGCUAGUUGGUAGGGUAAUGGCCUACCAAGGCUUUGACGGAUAACUGAUCUGAGAGGAUGAUCAGUCACACUGGAACUGCGACACGGUCCAGACACCUACGGGUGGCAGCAGUCGAGAAUCAUUCACAAUGGGCGAAAGCCUGAUGAUGCGACGCCGCGUGGAGGAUGAAGGCCCUCGGGUCGUAAACUCCUGUCGCCAUAGAGCAAAGCAGCGUAAGCUGCCUGAUAUUAUAUGGAAAGGAAGGGACGGCAAACUCUGUGCCAGCAGCCGCGGUAAUACAGAGGUCCCAAGCAUUGUUCGGAUUCACUGGGCGUAAAGGGUGUGUAGGAGGCAAGGCAAGUCUGGCGUGAAAUUUCGGCAUCCAAUGUCGAAACUGCUCUGGAUACUGCUUUGCUCGAGUGCC
RNAcentral lists this ribosomal RNA (628 nucleotides) under uncultured bacterium. RNAcentral describes it as "bacterial SSU rRNA". It matches the Rfam family "Bacterial small subunit ribosomal RNA", at positions 8 to 650 of the family's 1533-position model. The record is from RNAcentral.